AUUGAACGCUGGCGGCAGGCCUAACACAUGCAAGUCGAACGGAAACACGGUGCUGCUUUCUGCUUCGCGGACGGGUGGCGGGCGAGUAAGAAGUGUCUAGGAAACUCUCGGAUGGAGGGGGAUAACAAGUGAAAACGGUAGCUAAUACCGCAUAACGUCUCAAGCACAAAGAGGGUGGGCUUGUGGCCGCUUGCCGUCGGGUGUGCGCAGGUGGUAUGAGCUAGGGGGUGGGGUAACGGCUCACCUAGUCGACGAUCCCUAGCGGGUGUGAGAGGAUGACCAGCCACACUGGAACUGAGACACGGUCCAGACGCCUACGGGAGGCAGCAGUGGGGAAUAGUGCACAAAGGGGGCAAGCCUGAUGCAGCCAUGCCGCGUGUAUGAAGAAGGCGUUCGGGUUGUAAAGUCCGUUCAGCGGGGAGGAAGGGAGUAAAGUUAAUACCUAGCCUCAUUGACGUUACCCGCAGAAGAAGCACCGGCUAACUCCGUG
RNAcentral lists this ribosomal RNA (490 nucleotides) under uncultured bacterium. RNAcentral's name for it is "partial 16S ribosomal RNA". It matches the Rfam family "Bacterial small subunit ribosomal RNA", at positions 29 to 507 of the family's 1533-position model. The record is from RNAcentral.